This 66-nucleotide transfer RNA is filed under the name unidentified. Its description in RNAcentral is "Strongylium nakanei tRNA-Tyr". It matches the Rfam family "tRNA". Rfam says of the family: Transfer RNA (tRNA) molecules are approximately 80 nucleotides in length. Their secondary structure includes four short double-helical elements and three loops (D, anti-codon, and T loops). Further hydrogen bonds mediate the characteristic L-shaped molecular structure. tRNAs have two regions of fundamental functional importance: the anti-codon, which is responsible for specific mRNA codon recognition, and the 3' end, to which the tRNAs corresponding amino acid is attached (by aminoacyl-tRNA synthetases). tRNAs cope with the degeneracy of the genetic code in two manners: having more than one tRNA (with a specific anti-codon) for a particular amino acid; and 'wobble' base-pairing, i.e. permitting non-standard base-pairing at the 3rd anti-codon position. The record is from RNAcentral.
AGUAAUAUGGCUGAGAUAUAAGCGAUAGAUUGUAAAUUUAUUAACGAGCUUUAGGCUCUGUUACUA